GAAAUGCGAUAAGUAAUGUGAAUUGCAGAAUUCCGUGAAUCAUCGAAUCUUUGAACGCACAUUGCGCCCUCUGGCAUUCCGGGGGGGAUGCCUGUCCGAGCGUCAUUACGCACCCUCAAGCCCGGCUUGUGUGAUGGGCCCCGGCGUCUCGUUCGCGAGACGGGCCCGAAAGGCAGCGGCGGCGUCGACCCGAUGAGCCCGAGCGUAUGGGGACUUCUGUCACACGUUCGCGGUGCGGACCGGCGCCUGCUUGACUUUUCUGAUUAUCCAGGUUGACCUCGGAUCAGGUAGGGAUACCCGCUGGACUUAAGC
This 312-nucleotide unclassified non-coding RNA is filed under the name plant metagenome. RNAcentral describes it as "partial contains 5.8S ribosomal RNA, internal transcribed spacer 2, and large subunit ribosomal RNA". The stretch from base 1 to 105 matches the Rfam family "5.8S ribosomal RNA", at positions 50 to 154 of the family's 154-position model. The record is from RNAcentral.